CUGAAAGGAUUAAGGUGUAGAGAAACAGGUAGCAUGAGAGAGACAUCUUUGAUUUAUUCAUCACUUUGUAAUGUGACAGUAUAAGCAAGGUAAGCAAGCAAUUUUUAAGUAAUAAGUAAACAAUUUCUAUUUUAAAAAGAAGAUUAAAUCCUGGGUUUUAUUAAGGAUUUACCUACCUCUCCACUGAAAUUUUUAAUCUUUUUUACAUUGGCUUUACUGUGGAAACUAAUCAGACUUCAGUUCAUCUCAGGAGACAGAGUCAAAAGCUUGAAUCCUGUGCCCAUUUUUGAUGUGUUGUGUGGUAAUCCAAUUAGAUUCCUGCUUCUACUUACUGAAUUUAAGCCUUAUCAGUGUUGCCACUGCUUAAAAGAAAUCUUGACAUAUUUACCAAUUUGUAUGACCAUUUCUACUGGAUAGUUCUCAAAUAGUUCUGUCUUUGUGUGAGAGUUCAAAUGGAAUGUUUCAGUUAAUCCUUUGGAAAAAAAGCCUCACUUUGUUAAUGGUUUUCAGGUUGAUUGAAAUGGUCACACAUUUUCCUGAGUGUACUGUGCUGUUAUCUUUGCCUUUACAGGUUCACUUCUUCAUUUAUUGGCAAUAUAGACAUUUUCCUUUUUUCACAAAAUAUGGAGUAUGUUUUAAAAAACUUCUCAAGUUUGUGUUGCAAAGCUUCUGAAGAAAGGCCCAGAGCUCAACAAUCUGUUCCAUCCACCUGGCAUUGCUUUUGCAAUUAUAUUGCCUUUUUGAGCCCUUUGUGGCAUGAUCCAUCAUUUUUCAUUUCACUUCCAGUGCCUGAUAGUCAAAGACUGCAGAAAUCCACUUUGCUUUGCUGUGGAGUGAAUUUCCUCACAACAACUGGACAGGAUAUUUCUGCCUCAGAGGAAUGUUGUAAAGACAAGCAUUUGCAGAUUUUUGGGGUUACAAUAUAUGACAGCAGCAGAUGCCAUGUGAGUAUAAAAGUCACCCUAUCAGUGCUGUGCCAUCAAUGUCUUUUGAUGCCAAAGAGUUCUUGUGUUCAAAGUGUUCAAAUUUAAUUAGUGGAAAAUGAUUGCAGCUCAUUGUCUCAGUCUCCUAUUGGAUGUGCUUGCCUUGUGAGCAUCCUGUGAGGGGCAAUGUCUAGUUUUGUACUUCGUGAGCAAACUACACACCCACCCAUACACAAAGUUAUCUCGUGUACCCCAGCUUCUGCUCCACUGCAAGGAGGGUCUUCACCAAAAAACAAUGCAAACUGAGGAAGAACAAGGUAGGAGAGAUAAGAUUGAGGGGCUAACACACAACUGAAAGCCUAAAAUGAAUGGUUUCAGCAAGAACCUAAUGCAAACUUUCAGCCAAAUCAAAUAAAAAGGAGCAAGUAUCAGUAUGAGAUGUGGCUGCAUUCUGAAAGCUGAACUCUUAAGAAAUAUUUGUAGGAAGUCUUUACUGUGAAAAGCUAAAUUGAUCAUGAAAAAUAGCUCUUGUAAGGUGCAUUUCAUUUUUAGAUAUUGUAUUCUAAAUUUUUGUGGGUUUGUAUGAUUUUAUUUUUCAUUAUAGCACAGUAUGCUAGGUAAUCAGAAAAAUAGUGAAGGAUUUCUGUAAUCAUUUUACAGAAUACAUAUUUUUCUGAAACUGAUUAAAUCUGAGGUUUGGAUUUGUGAUUCACUAAAAGUCUUUCAGCCAGCAAUGGGAGAUACAGUGGUACAAAGACUUCAGAACUGUAAUUUGAUUAUUUCCUACCCUUUGUAAAAUCAGAAUGAGGGUCUGGAUAGAAAUAAUAUCCCUGAUCCUUAUGCCACUACAUAAGGAAGUUACAAUCUGUCUUUUGAA
Parus major (Great Tit) is the source of this 1800-nucleotide long non-coding RNA. RefSeq lists it as uncharacterized. The record is from RefSeq and is a predicted model, not a curated record. Lineage: Eukaryota; Metazoa; Chordata; Aves; Passeriformes; Paridae. The transcript has 3 exons.